RNAcentral lists this ribosomal RNA (511 nucleotides) under uncultured bacterium. RNAcentral's name for it is "bacterial SSU rRNA". It matches the Rfam family "Bacterial small subunit ribosomal RNA", at positions 501 to 1014 of the family's 1533-position model. The record is from RNAcentral.
CUACGUGCCAGCAGCCGCGGUAAUACGGAAGGUCCAGGCGUUAUCCGGAUUUAUUGGGUUUAAAGGGAGCGUAGGCUGGAGAUUAAGUGUGUUGUGAAAUGUAGACGCUCAACGUCUGAAUUGCAGCGCAUACUGGUUUCCUUGAGUACGCACAACGUUGGCGGAAUUCGUCGUGUAGCGGUGAAAUGCUUAGAUAUGACGAAGAACUCCGAUUGCGAAGGCAGCUGACGGGAGCGCAACUGACGCUUAAGCUCGAAGGUGCGGGUAUCGAACAGGAUUAGAUACCCUGGUAGUCCGCACAGUAAACGAUGGAUGCCCGCUGUUGGUACCUGGUAUCAGCGGCUAAGCGAAAGCAUUAAGCAUCCCACCUGGGGAGUACGCCGGCAACGGUGAAACUCAAAGGAAUUGACGGGGGCCCGCACAAGCGGAGGAACAUGUGGUUUAAUUCGAUGAUACGCGAGGAACCUUACCCGGGCUUGAAUUGCAGAGGAAGGAUUUAGAGAUAAUGACG